UGUGUGUGUGUGAGAGGGAGAGAGAGAGAGAGAGAGAGAGAUCAACCAGUAAUCAGCAACAUUUUGGGUAUUCUAUAUUUUGGGUCCCGCGACCCUUGUGAGGAUAAAGCGGAUCAGAAAAUGGAAGGAUGGAUGGAUAUAUUUUGGGUGUUAAAGUGAUUUUUUUUUCAAAAGACAAUACAAUUCUGGGUGUUAAAUUGAGUGAUAAAAAACACAGGAGAGACCUAACAAUGGUAUUGCCUCCAGGUUGUGAAAGACAAGCCAUCACAUCCCAAAACAUGGCUGCAGUGAGCACUGAAGGACAAAACCCAACAGAGGGCAAUAGGGCUUUGGUCUGAAUUCAAUUUGGGUGCAGCAAAAAAAAAAUCAUGUGCAACCUGCCCAUGGAGGCUGGAAAGAGGGAUGG
Hippocampus comes (tiger tail seahorse) is the source of this 406-nucleotide long non-coding RNA. RefSeq lists it as uncharacterized. The transcript is spliced from 2 exons. The record is from RefSeq and is a predicted model, not a curated record. NCBI's taxonomy places the organism in Eukaryota, Metazoa, Chordata, Actinopteri, Syngnathiformes, Syngnathidae.